AUUUUAAGGAAAUUUUGAAGUUUUUGGUUAUUAUCUUGAAUAUUAUAAUAGAUAGAGAUAAACUGUAAACAGCAAUAACGUUCAGCAAAGUAAGAUCUACAAAUAAGUCAACAUGACCAAAAUCGUCAGUUUACCCGUUAAGGAGUUAUUGCCCUUUAUAGUCAUUUUUUAACAAUUUUCAUAAAUUUUUGUAAAUUUUUGUAAAUUUUUAGAAUAUAUUCUCCACUGUAAUUACUGGGCCAAGUUAAUUAUAGAUAGAGAUAAUUGUAGCAAGAAGAAUGUCCAGUAAAGUAAGAUCUACAAACACAUCAUGAUCACCAAAACACAAUAUUGUCAUGAAUUUAUCUGUGUCCAUUGUUUAAUAUGCACAUAGACCCAGGUGAGCGACACAGGCUCUUGAGAGCCUCUAGUUUUUUUAUGGUUAACCAUUAUUGAAAUUUUUUGUGGUAUUAUUAUUUUCUGCUACAUAGUACAGACUCCUGCUUUUCUAAUUUCUUGAAACAUCUAGAAAAGAAAAAUAGUUCAUAAAGAAAAUGAAGAUUUGAUUGAGAUAAAACAUGUAACAAAAUAUAAAUGAAUAUUUUGAAAAAAAUUAUUUUUAAUGUCAGAGUUAAGGGACCAGCAGUAACAUACCUUGUUUAAUGCAUGUUUUGUUUUAAUAAGUGCUAUUAGCCUAUUACAUUUCAUUAUUCAUUGACAUGCAUCUUAA
RNAcentral lists this long non-coding RNA (709 nucleotides) under Mytilus galloprovincialis (Mediterranean mussel). The record is from RNAcentral. Lineage: Eukaryota; Metazoa; Mollusca; Bivalvia; Mytilida; Mytilidae.